This 256-nucleotide ribosomal RNA is filed under the name uncultured bacterium. Its description in RNAcentral is "partial 16S ribosomal RNA". It matches the Rfam family "Bacterial small subunit ribosomal RNA", at positions 524 to 776 of the family's 1533-position model. The record is from RNAcentral.
UACGUAGGGUGCAAGCGUUGUCCGGAAUUAUUGGGCGUAAAGAGCUCGUAGGCGGUCAGUCGCGUCUGCUGUGAAAACUCGGGGCUUAACUCCGGGCCUGCAGUGGGUACGGGCUGACUAGAGUGCGGUAGGGGAGACUGGAAUUCCUGGUGUAGCGGUGAAAUGCGCAGAUAUCAGGAGGAACACCGGUGGCGAAGGCGGGGUCUCUGGGGCCGUAACUGACGCUGAGGAGCGAAAAGCGUGGGGAGCGAACAGG